RNAcentral lists this unclassified non-coding RNA (130 nucleotides) under soil metagenome. Its description in RNAcentral is "partial internal transcribed spacer 1". The record is from RNAcentral.
CAGAGUUGUAAAACUCCCAAACCCAUGUGAACAUACCUGUUGCCUCGGUGGCCUACCCGGUAGCUACCCUGUAGCUACCCUGUAGUCCGCCGGUGGAAUCAAACUCUGUCAGUAUCUGAGAAAAAUAAUC